GUGCGCAUUUCAGCAACACAUUUACUAAAACCAGAACAAUUCAGAGAAGAUUAGCAUAGUCCCUGCACAAGGAUGACAUGCAAAUUUGUGAAGCAAUACCUCUCUAG
This 107-nucleotide small nuclear RNA is filed under the name Castor canadensis (American beaver). Lineage: Eukaryota; Metazoa; Chordata; Mammalia; Rodentia; Castoridae. The record is from RNAcentral.